GGUGUACUUUCCCGUAACGUAGGUCAACAUCGGUUACGAGGGUCACAAAAUGAUCGGAGGAAUGUGGCUUUGACCUCGGUUGAAGUGUUAUAGACUCCGUUAGACGUGACCGUCGUGACCGAGGAUUGCAACGGAUGCUCGUCAGGGCCAUCCGCCUGGUCUCUGAUUCGUCACCCUGGCGUCGAAAGCGUGCUUACGACGUUAGGGCGCGCGGUCAAAAGGUUAGAACGGAUUAAAUUCGUUAAGGAUGUUGACGUAAUGGCUUUAAACGA
This 272-nucleotide ribosomal RNA is filed under the name Glomerales sp. RNAcentral's name for it is "partial large subunit ribosomal RNA". The record is from RNAcentral. Lineage: Eukaryota; Fungi; Glomeromycota; Glomeromycetes; Glomerales; Glomeraceae.